GUGAACGCUGGCGGUAGGCCUAACACAUGCAAGUCGCACGGCAGCACAGUAAGAGCUUGCCCUUACGGGUGGCGAGUGGCGGACGGGUGAGGAAUACAUCGGAAUCUACUUUUUCGUGGGGGAUAACGUAGGGAAACUUACGCUAAUACCGCAUACGACCUACGGGUGAAAGUAGGGGAUCUUCGGACCUUGCGCGAUUGAAUGAGCCGAUGUCGGAUUAGCUAGUUGGCGGGGUAAAGGCCCACCAAGGCGACGAUCCGUAGCUGGUCUGAGAGGAUGAUCAGCCACACUGGAACUGAGACACGGUCCAGACUCCUACGGGAGGCAGCAGUGGGGAAUAUUGGACAAUGGGCGCAAGCCUGAUCCAGCCAUACCGCGUGGGUGAAGAAGGCCUUCGGGUUGUAAAGCCCUUUUGUUGGGAAAGAAAAGCAGCAGGUUAAUACCCCGCUGUUCUGACGGUACCCAAAGAAUAAGCACCGGCUAACUUCGUG
RNAcentral lists this ribosomal RNA (491 nucleotides) under uncultured bacterium. RNAcentral describes it as "partial 16S ribosomal RNA". It matches the Rfam family "Bacterial small subunit ribosomal RNA", at positions 29 to 507 of the family's 1533-position model. The record is from RNAcentral.